Molecule: RNA transcript, 1653 nt
Organism: Clupea harengus (Atlantic herring)
Lineage: Eukaryota; Metazoa; Chordata; Actinopteri; Clupeiformes; Clupeidae
Gene: arr3a
Gene name: arrestin 3a, retinal (X-arrestin)
Source: RefSeq, a predicted model, not a curated record
GGAGGUUCAUUCUGUACAUCGAACCUAACUUGCGGAAUAUUGCCACGUGUAGGCCGACAUUUGUUGUAAAGAAGCCAACAGGUAUACUAUCUAAUCUUAAAUCAUGGCCAAGGUUUUCAAGAAAACCAGUGGAAAUGGCCAGCUGACCCUGUUGUUGGGAAAGAGAGACUAUGUUGACCACGUGGAUACUGUUGAUGCUGUUGAGGGUGUCUUGAAAGUUGAUCCUGCUGGACUUGAUGGCAAGAAAGCUUGGAUCCAGAUGGCCUGUGCUUUCCGCUAUGGUCGUGAUGACCUUGACGUGAUUGGCCUGUCCUUCAGAAAAGACAUCUGGUUUCAGUACAUACAGGUGUACCCCGUAGCAGACCACAAACCCACCAAGACUGCAAUGCAUGACACUCUGAUGACCAAAGCCGGCGACCAAGGCAUCCCCUUCACUUUCAACAUCCCAACAAACCUGCCCUGCUCUGUCACACUGCAGCCUGGAGAGGAGGACAAGGGAAAGGCUUGCGGUGUGGACUUUGAAGUCAAAGGAUAUGUCGCCAAAGAAGGAGAUGACGCCGAUGAGGUUAUAGAGAAGAAGGAUACCUGCCGUCUGAUCAUCCGCAAGAUUCAGUUUGCCCCUGAUAAGGCUGGCUCUGGGGUCUCAGAAGAAACCAGCAAGAAUUCAAUUAGUGUCACAGCCUCCAUAGAUAAGGAGAUCUAUUACCAUGGCGAGGCAAUCCCCAUUAAAAUCAAAGCAAAGAAUGAUGGGAGCAAACCAGUGAAGAAAAUCAAAGUGACCAUUGACCAGACCACAGAUGUCGUGCUGUAUUCUGCUGACAAAUACACCAAGUCUGUUGUAAGCGAAGAGUUUUCUGAUACACUGGAUGUCGGCGGAUCACUGGAAAAGACUGUCUCUGUCACUCCAUCACUUGCCGCAAACAAGGAAAAAAAGGGCUUGGCUCUGGACGGCAGACUCAAGGAUGAGGACACUAACCUGGCCUCCUCUACAAUUCUGAGGCCAGGAAUGGAGAAGGAGGUUUUGGGAAUCUUGGUUACUUACAAAAUAAAAGUCACCUUUGUGGCCGGCGGUGGAGGUCUGCUGGGAGGUCUGACAGCUACUGAUGUGACAGUAGAGCUUCCCCUCACCCUGAUGAACCCCAAGCCCACAGCGUGAGCUCAUAUUCUUCUCUUGGUCCCCAAGCUCACAUGGUGUAGAGUUCCCAUCAUCAUUCACAAAGAACACAUAUUCCCCAUGUAAUUUCCCCCAGCAUAAAAUGGACCACACUGGACACAGAAGGAUGCAGAAGGACAGGGGGUGUUGCCUAGCCAACACUGAAAUUAAGGUUGACAUGGAAGCAAGGUGUCUACACAGUUGUCGGCAGACAUUUUAUCUGAAACUGUUCAAGAAUAUGAUGUUUCCAUGUUCCUCUCACUUAUUCUGUAUGAUCUCUAAACUUAAAGGGUUCUCUCUAAAGCUAAUUGAAAGAGGAUGUGAUUUGAAUGCAGUCCUUAGAAUAUUUGUGUUUAGUUUUCUAGCUCACCAAAAUCCUCCUUUAUUGUAAGAGAUAUUCAUGUUUCAAAUGAAACAAAACUUCACUAUAUGUCAAUGUUUGUCUUGUUUGAUGUUUUUGAUUGACAUGUCACUGAGCCAAAUAAAACCAUAUAAAAGAC